CCUACGGGUGGCAGCAGUGGGGAAUAUUGGACAAUGGGCGAAAGCCUGAUCCAGCCAUGCCGCGUGUGUGAAGAAGGCCUUCGGGUUGUAAAGCACUUUCAGUGGGGAAGAAAGCCUUGGGGCUAAUACCCUCGAGGAAGGACAUCACCCACAGAAGAAGCACCGGCUAACUCCGUGCCAGCAGCCGCGGUAAUACGGAGGGUGCGAGCGUUAAUCGGAAUUACUGGGCGUAAAGCGCGCGUAGGCGGUCUGAUAAGCCGGUUGUGAAAGCCCCGGGCUCAACCUGGGAACGGCAUCCGGAACUGUGCGGCUAGAGUGCAGGAGAGGAAGGUAAAAUUCCCGGUGGAGCGGUGAAAUGCGUAGAGAUCGGGAGGAAUACCAGUGGCGAAGGCGGCCUUCUGGACUGACACUGACGCUGAGGUGCGAAAGCGUGGGUAGCAAACAGGAUUAGAUACCCCAGUAGUC
Molecule: ribosomal RNA, 465 nt
Filed under: Vreelandella stevensii
Lineage: Bacteria; Pseudomonadati; Pseudomonadota; Gammaproteobacteria; Oceanospirillales; Halomonadaceae
Description: partial 16S ribosomal RNA
Rfam family: Bacterial small subunit ribosomal RNA
Source: RNAcentral